RNAcentral lists this long non-coding RNA (205 nucleotides) under Carica papaya (papaya). RNAcentral describes it as "long non-coding RNA (CPAP_LNC013309)". The record is from RNAcentral. Lineage: Eukaryota; Viridiplantae; Streptophyta; Magnoliopsida; Brassicales; Caricaceae.
CGCCAGCCGCUCGCCGGAGAAGACGAACCAGAGACCGACCGCCGCCACCCGCCGCCACUCGCCGCCGCACCGGGGAAAUUUCCGACCGCCGAUCGAGGUAAAUUUCAUACCCCCGACUCGUUUUUCUCCACUGAUUCCUCCUAUGGCCAAAUCGAAGCCGAAAUCCCGGCCAAACGGCCGGAAUACGCGGCCGAAGCCCAGCGGC